This 253-nucleotide ribosomal RNA is filed under the name uncultured bacterium. RNAcentral describes it as "partial 16S ribosomal RNA". It matches the Rfam family "Bacterial small subunit ribosomal RNA", at positions 524 to 776 of the family's 1533-position model. The record is from RNAcentral.
UACGUAGGGUGCAAGCGUUAAUCGGAAUUACUGGGCGUAAAGCGUGCGCAGGCGGUUAUUCAAGUCAGAUGUGAAAGCCCCGGGCUUAACCUGGGUAUUGCGUUUGAAACUAGAUAACUUGAGUCUGUCAGAGGGGGGUGGAAUUCCACGUGUAGCAGUGAAAUGCGUAGAGAUGUGGAGGAACACCGAUGGCGAAGGCAGCCCCCUGGGAUAAGACUGACGCUCAUGCACGAAAGCGUGGGGAGCAAACAGG